AUUGAACGCUAGCGGGAUGCCUUACACAUGCAAGUCGAACGAGCGGCGGACGGGUGAGUAAUAUAUUGGAACCUGCCCUGUAGCGGGGGAUAACUACUCGAACGAGGGCUAAUACCGCAUACUAUCGGAGAAACCCAUAUGGGAUUAGCUAGUUGGUGGGGUAAAGGCUCACCUAGGCGACUAGCCCUAGCUGGUCUGAGAGGACGAACAGCAACACUGUGACUGAGACACGGCCCAGACUCCUACGGGAGGCAGCAGUGGGGAAUGUGGGACAAGUGGGGGUAGCCUGAGGCAGCCAUGCCGCGUGUAGGAAGAAGGCCUUAGGGUUGUAAAGUACUGUUAGCAGAGAGGCGUUAUCUGCAGAAUAAGCACCGGCUAACUACGUGCCAGCAGCCGCGGUAAUAC
RNAcentral lists this ribosomal RNA (405 nucleotides) under uncultured bacterium. RNAcentral's name for it is "partial 16S ribosomal RNA". It matches the Rfam family "Bacterial small subunit ribosomal RNA", at positions 30 to 526 of the family's 1533-position model. The record is from RNAcentral.